RNAcentral lists this ribosomal RNA (377 nucleotides) under uncultured Planctomycetia bacterium. RNAcentral describes it as "bacterial SSU rRNA". It matches the Rfam family "Bacterial small subunit ribosomal RNA", at positions 521 to 896 of the family's 1533-position model. Lineage: Bacteria; Pseudomonadati; Planctomycetota; Planctomycetia. The record is from RNAcentral.
UAAGACGAACCGUCCAAACGUUAUUCGGAAUCACUGGGCUUAAAGGGUGCGUAGGCGGCUUGGCAAGUUGGGUGUGAAAUCCCUCGGCUCAACCGAGGAACUGCGCUCAAAACUGCCUGGCUAGAGGGAGAUAGAGGUGAGCGGAACUUAAGGUGGAGCGGUGAAAUGCGUUGAUAUCUUAAGGAACACCGGUGGCGAAGGCGGCUCACUGGAUCUCUUCUGACGCUGAGGCACGAAAGCCAGGGUAGCGAACGGGAUUAGAUACCCCGGUAGUCCUGGCUGUAAACGAUGAGCACUUGGUUGGAGGCUCCUCCAUAGGCUUCCGGCCGUAGCGAAAGUGUUAAGUGCUCCGCCUGGGGAGUAUGGUCGCAAGGCUG